This 471-nucleotide long non-coding RNA is filed under the name Dasypus novemcinctus (nine-banded armadillo). RNAcentral's name for it is "lncRNA (ENSDNOG00000051458.1)". Lineage: Eukaryota; Metazoa; Chordata; Mammalia; Cingulata; Dasypodidae. The record is from RNAcentral.
GAACAAGGGGAAGGCCUCCGGCGCUGAGGAUUCUGGGGAACGUAGUUCGCUCACUGGGCUGCGCACGCGCACUGGCUGCCUAGCGGCCUGGCUCAGGCGGCCGGGUGCCAUUGCUGGACGCGUUCCCGCCGUGCACUGCGAAGCCCUUCAGUUUUCCUGAGUUUCGCAGCCAGAUAUGUCUUUGUGGGACUCUACUUUUUCCAGAAAGGGGAGCACAGAGGAAGAGAUUAUGACUGCUGUGGUUUUUUCAGUUGUCCCUCUGGUAAGUUGAGAUUUCUUCCGUUCCUGAAUUGCUCUCUUGGGAUGAGAGCAUUUCUACUUUUCCCUGAAGUCUUGUGACUUUUCCACCUCUCCCACUCCCCAUGUGGGAACUGAACCAAAUGUCUUGACCCAUGAACUUGAGUUCAUCAUCUUAAUAAAGGUUCUGAUCUAUAGGAGGAUUUGCUAUACUUACCGAACCAAAUAUCAGGG